UACGGAGGGUGCAAGCGUUAUCCGGAUUUACUGGGUUUAAAGGGUGCGUAGGUGGGUAGGUAAGUCAGUGGUGAGAUCUUCGAGCUUAACUCGGAAACUGCCAUUGAUACUAUUUAUCUUGAAUACUCUGGAGGUAAGCGGAAUAUGUCAUGUAGCGGUGAAAUGCUUAGAUAUGACAUAGAACACCAAUUGCGAAGGCAGCUUACUGCAUAGUUAUUGACACUGAGGCACGAAAGCGUGGGGAUCAAACAGG
This 253-nucleotide ribosomal RNA is filed under the name uncultured bacterium. RNAcentral's name for it is "partial 16S ribosomal RNA". It matches the Rfam family "Bacterial small subunit ribosomal RNA", at positions 524 to 776 of the family's 1533-position model. The record is from RNAcentral.